RNAcentral lists this ribosomal RNA (497 nucleotides) under uncultured bacterium. RNAcentral's name for it is "partial 16S ribosomal RNA". It matches the Rfam family "Bacterial small subunit ribosomal RNA", at positions 28 to 507 of the family's 1533-position model. The record is from RNAcentral.
GAUGAACGCUGGCGGCGUGCCUAAUACAUGCAAGUCGAGCGAACAGACGAGGAGCUUGCUCCUCUGACGUUAGCGGCGGACGGGUGAGUAACACGUGGAUAACCUACCUAUAAGACUGGGAUAACUUCGGGAAACCGGAGCUAAUACCGGAUAAUAUAUUGAACCGCAUGGUUCAAUAGUGAAAGACGGUUUUGCUGUCACUUAUAGAUGGAUCCGCGCCGCAUUAGCUAGUUGGUAAGGUAACGGCUUACCAAGGCGACGAAGCGUAGCCGACCUGAGAGGGUGAUCGGCCACACGGGAACUGAGACACGGUCCAGACUCCUACGGGAGGCAGCAGUAGGGAAUCUUCCGCAAUGGGCGAAAGCCUGACGGAGCAACGCCGCGUGAGUGAUGAAGGUCUUCGGAUCGUAAAACUCUGUUAUUAGGGAAGAACAAAUGUGUAAGUAACUAUGCACGUCUUGACGGUACCUAAUCAGAAAGCCACGGCUAACUACGUG